RNAcentral lists this non-coding RNA (30 nucleotides) under Mus musculus (house mouse). The record is from RNAcentral. Lineage: Eukaryota; Metazoa; Chordata; Mammalia; Rodentia; Muridae.
UAGAAUAAAAACUGUUGCCAUCUAUGUACC